CUCUGGGUGGUGUAAAUGGUUAACACACUUGGCUGCUAACUGAGAGAGUGGAGAGUUUAGCCCUCCCAGAGG
Molecule: transfer RNA, 72 nt
Filed under: Loxodonta africana (African savanna elephant)
Lineage: Eukaryota; Metazoa; Chordata; Mammalia; Proboscidea; Elephantidae
Rfam family: tRNA
About the family: Transfer RNA (tRNA) molecules are approximately 80 nucleotides in length. Their secondary structure includes four short double-helical elements and three loops (D, anti-codon, and T loops).
Source: Rfam by way of RNAcentral